AGUGGGGAAUUUUGGACAAUGGGGGCAACCCUGAUCCAGCCAUGCCGCGUGAGUGAAGAAGGCCUUCGGGUUGUAAAGCUCUUUCGGCCGGGAAGAAAUCGCAUAGGUUAAUACCCUGUGUGGAUGACGGUACCGGAAUAAGAAGCACCGGCUAACUACGUGCCAGCAGCCGCGGUAAUACGUAGGGUGCGAGCGUUAAUCGGAAUUACUGGGCGUAAAGCGUGCGCAGGCGGUUUCGUAAGACAGAGGUGAAAUCCCCGGGCUCAACCUGGGAACUGCCUUUGUGACUGCGAAGCUAGAGUACGGCAGAGGGGGGUGGAAUUCCACGUGUAGCAGUGAAAUGCGUAGAGAUGUGGAGGAACACCGAUGGCGAAGGCAGCCCCCUGGGCCGAUACUGACGCUCAUGCACGAAAGCGUGGGUAGCAAACAGGAUUAGAUACCCUGGUAGUCCACGCCCUAAACGAUGUCAACUAGGUGUUGGGUGGGUAAAACCAUUUAGUACCGUAGCUAACGCGUGAAGUUGACCGCCUGGGGAGUACGGCCGCAAGGUUAAAACUCAAAGGAAUUGACGGGGACCCGCACAAGCGGUGGAUGAUGUGGAUUAAUUCGAUGCAACGCGAAAAACCUUACCUACCCUUGACAUGUUCAGAAUCCCGGAGAGAUUUGGGAGUGCCCGAAAGGGAGCUGGAACACAGGUGCUGCAUGGCUGUCGUCAGCUCGUGUCGUGAGAUGUUGGGUUAAGUCCCGCAACGAGCGCAACCCUUGUCGUUAAUUGCCAUCAUUUAGUUGGGCACUUUAACGAGACUGCCGGUGACAAACCGGAGGAAGGUGGGGAUGACGUCAAGUCCUCAUGGCCCUUAUGGGUAGGGCUUCACACGUCAUACAAUGGUCGGUACAGAGGGUUGCCAAGCCGCGAGGUGGAGCCAAUCCCAGAAAGCCGAUCGUAGUCCGGAUUGCAGGCUGCAACUCGCCUGCAUGAAGUCGGAAUCGCUAGUAAUCGCGGAUCAGCAUGUCGCGGUGAAUACGUUCCCGGGUCUUGUACACACCGCCCGUCACACCAUGGGAGCGGGUUCCGCCAGAAGUAGGUAGCCUAACCGCAAGGGGGGCGCUUACCACGGCGGGGUUCGUGACUGGGGUG
RNAcentral lists this ribosomal RNA (1138 nucleotides) under uncultured bacterium. Its description in RNAcentral is "bacterial SSU rRNA". It matches the Rfam family "Bacterial small subunit ribosomal RNA", at positions 353 to 1482 of the family's 1533-position model. The record is from RNAcentral.